Molecule: long non-coding RNA, 371 nt
Filed under: Androctonus crassicauda
Lineage: Eukaryota; Metazoa; Arthropoda; Arachnida; Scorpiones; Buthidae
Source: RNAcentral
UGUGUGUGUGUGUGUGUGUGUGUGUGUGUGUGUGUGUGUGUCCAACUUGCACUGUCCCCUCAGUGAUGCUGGCCACCUGCACAGAGAUGAAACUGGUCCCUAGGGUUCCCAGGCCUUGGCAGCUCUUGAUUAAGAGUCCAUCAAGCUUUUAAUGCUGAGAACCUGGCUGAGGAUUCUCUCUCUACCUCUGGUUGGUGAUUAAAUGCUGAUUUGAUUGAUGUACAGAUAAGGGAACUUUCCAGAUUUCCCCCUUCUAAAUGGGUUUCCUUGAAAAGAAAAGCAACUUUGUUCCCUGGUGGUAACAAGAACAUUCUAUUUUAAGAGUUCCGUGUGCUUUCAAAGAUGACAAGACUUGGGAAAUACGAACUGAC